GUCCUUCUAUUGUCGGCUUC
This 20-nucleotide small nuclear RNA is filed under the name Arabidopsis thaliana (thale cress). Its description in RNAcentral is "snRNA_03940". The record is from RNAcentral. Lineage: Eukaryota; Viridiplantae; Streptophyta; Magnoliopsida; Brassicales; Brassicaceae.